CCGGUAUGGGAUGGGGUCGCGUCCUAUCAGCUUGUUGGUGAGGUGACGGCUCACCAAGGCUUCGACGGGUAGCCGGCCUGAGAGGGCGACCGGCCACAUUGGGACUGAGAUACGGCCCAGACUCCUACGGGAGGCAGCAGUGGGGAAUAUUGCACAAUGGGCGCAAGCCUGAUGCAGCGACGCCGCGUGCGGGAUGACGGCCUUCGGGUUGUAAACCGCUUUUGAUUGGGAGCAAGCGGNNAAGUGAGUGUACCUUUCGAAUAAGCGCCGGCUAACUACGUGCCAGCAGCCGCGGUAAUACGUAGGGCGCAAGCGUUGUCCGGAAUUAUUGGGCGUAAAGGGCUCGUAGGCGGCCCGUCGCGUCCGGUGUGAAAGCCCGUCGCUUAACGNUGGGUCUGCGCCGGGUACGGGCGGGCUGGAGUGCGGUAGGGGAGACUGGAAUUCCCGGUGUAACGGUGGAAUGUGUANAUAUCGGGAAGAACACCAAUGGCGAAGGCAGGUCUCUGGGCCGUAACUGACGCUGAGGAGCGAAAGCGUGGGGAGCGAACAGGAUUAGAUACCCUGGUAGUCCACGCCGUAAACGGUGGACGCUGGAUGUGGGGCCCUUUCCACGGGUUCCGUGUCNGAGCUAACGCAUUAAGCGUCCCGCCUGGGGANUACGGCCGCAAGGCUAAAACUCAAAGAANUUGACGGGGGCCCGCACAAGCGGCGGAGCAUGCGGAUUAAUUCGAUGCAACGCGAAGAACCUUACCUGGGCUUGACAUGUUCCCGACGACCGCAGAGAUGUGGUUUCCCUUCGGGGCGGGUUCACAGGUGGUGCAUGGUCGUCGUCAGCUCGUGUCGUGAGAUGUUGGGUUAAGUCCCGCAACGAGCGCAACCCUUGCCCUGUGUUGCCAGCGCGUCAUGGCGGGGACUCACGGGGGACCGCCGGGGUUAACUCGGAGGAAGGUGGGGAUGACGUCAGAUCAUCAUGCCCCUUACGUCCAGGGCUUCACGCAUGCUACAAUGGCCGGUACAGCGGGAUGCGAUGGCGCGAGCCGGAGCGGAUCCCUGAAAACCGGUCUCAGUUCGGAUCGGAGCCUGCAACUCGGCUCCGNGAAGGUGGAGUCGCUAGUAAUCGCGGAUCAGCAACGCCGCGGUGAAUGCGUUGCCGGGCCUUUUGCCCC
Molecule: ribosomal RNA, 1166 nt
Filed under: Bifidobacterium sp.
Lineage: Bacteria; Bacillati; Actinomycetota; Actinomycetes; Bifidobacteriales; Bifidobacteriaceae
Description: bacterial SSU rRNA
Rfam family: Bacterial small subunit ribosomal RNA
Source: RNAcentral